This is a long non-coding RNA of Sander lucioperca (pikeperch), 435 nucleotides long. RefSeq lists it as uncharacterized. The record is from RefSeq and is a predicted model, not a curated record. The transcript has 3 exons. NCBI's taxonomy places the organism in Eukaryota, Metazoa, Chordata, Actinopteri, Perciformes, Percidae.
AGGAGACUGGAGCCCCUCAGUGAAGAUGGGAGUUCAGAUGUAGAUGAUCAGAGUCCAGGAAAAAGCUUGGUGAAGAGGCCCUCACAGAAGAAGAAAAGACGUAAAAAGUCCACGACAGUGGAAGCAAUGGAUGGAGUUUCUGACCUCUCGUCCUGCAGUGACGAGGGGAGUUUAAAUAUAGAUGGUGAGUUAAAUAACGUUUAUUAUGAAAUUCACAAAAACUCCUGCCUUUUUACAAAGGACCCUGCUAGCUUUUUCUCAAACUUAGUAGAGUACUACUUUAAGGACAAUUCUGGAGCAAAAUUAACCUAGGGGUUAAUAACACGUGUACUGAGUCGACCAUUCUCAGGGAUAUGUUUUCAUGUCAAUUGAAUGCGUUUCUAGCUUUAAACAAGCUACUGCAAACCAGUGGUUAGCUGCUAACACUACCUUUUA